Molecule: ribosomal RNA, 119 nt
Filed under: Pteropus alecto (black flying fox)
Lineage: Eukaryota; Metazoa; Chordata; Mammalia; Chiroptera; Pteropodidae
Source: RNAcentral
GUCUAUGGCCAUGCUACCCUGAACAAGCCUGAUCCCAUCUGAUCUUGGAAGCUAAGCAGAGUUAGGCCUGGUUAGUACUUGGAUGGGAGACCACCUAGGAAGACCAGGUGCUGUAGGCC